RNAcentral lists this ribosomal RNA (428 nucleotides) under uncultured bacterium. Its description in RNAcentral is "partial 16S ribosomal RNA". It matches the Rfam family "Bacterial small subunit ribosomal RNA", at positions 354 to 796 of the family's 1533-position model. The record is from RNAcentral.
GUGGGGAAUAUUGGGCAAUGGGCGAAAGCCUGACCCAGCAACGCCGCGUGAGGGAAGAAGGUUUUCGGAUUGUAAACCUCUGUCCUUGGUGACGAAGGAAGUGACGGUAGCCAAGGAGGAAGCCCCGGCUAACUACGUGCCAGCAGCCGCGGUAAUACGUAGGGGGCGAGCGUUGUCCGGAAUGACUGGGCGUAAAGGGCGUGUAGGCGGCCUAUUAAGUCUGGAGUGAAAGUCCUGCUUUCAAGGUGGGAAUUGCUUUGGAGACUGGUUGGCUGGAGUGCGGAAGAGGUAAGUGGAAUUCCCAGUGUAGCGGUGAAAUGCGUAGAGAUUGGGAGGAACACCAGUGGCGAAGGCGACUUACUGGGCCGUAACUGACGCUGAGGCGCGAAAGCGUGGGGAGCGAACAGGAUUAGAUACCCGGGUAGUCC